RNAcentral lists this ribosomal RNA (573 nucleotides) under Cupressus gigantea. RNAcentral's name for it is "eukaryotic LSU rRNA". The stretch from base 185 to 338 matches the Rfam family "5.8S ribosomal RNA". The record is from RNAcentral. Lineage: Eukaryota; Viridiplantae; Streptophyta; Pinopsida; Cupressales; Cupressaceae.
AGGUGAAUGGGGCGGGGACACACCACAGCGUUCCUCGUCGCACCCAUUGGGUGCUCGGGGUUCGGGAUGUGUCAACACCCAACACACGGGUGCGCAUCGCGCACCUUAGAAAUCCAAAGAAUGAAGCGCGGUCUAGCGCCUUGCGCGCUUGGGUCGCCGAAGGACAAAAACAUAACAAAAUCACGACUCUCGGCAACGGAUAUCUCGGCUCUCGCCACGAUGAAGAAUGUAGCGAAAUGCGAUACUUAGUGUGAAUUGCAGAAUCCCGUGAAUCAUCAAGUCUUUGAACGCAAGUUGCGCCCGAGGCCUCGGCCAAGGGCACGUCUGCUUGGGCGUCGCACUACAAAAUUGCCCUCCCCGGCGAGGAGCGGAGAUGGCCGUCCGUGUCUGCAAGUGGCGCGGUCGGCUGAAAUGAGCACGAGGUCCGUCGGUCCGUCGCGACGAGCGGUGGCUCCCAAAGGCCGGCGUUGGUUUGCGCUGAUCGAACGAUUCCUCGCGAGGAACUUUAUUCUGGGUCCAGCGGCCCGCCGCAGUGCGGGCAUGCUGUAUCUCUACCGCGUCCCCAAGUCAGGC